Molecule: ribosomal RNA, 198 nt
Filed under: Gymnocanthus herzensteini
Lineage: Eukaryota; Metazoa; Chordata; Actinopteri; Perciformes; Cottidae
Description: partial 12S ribosomal RNA
Rfam family: Bacterial small subunit ribosomal RNA
Source: RNAcentral
GUACUGAAACGUAAAUCUGAAGGAGGAUUUAGCAGUAAGCAGGAAAUAGAGCGUCCCGCUGAAACUGGCCCUGAAGCGCGCACACACCGCCCGUCACUCUCCCCAAAAACACCAAUCAAUUAACUAAAACCUAAUAAUUAAAAAGGGGAGGCAAGUCGUAACAUGGUAAGUGUACCGGAAGGUGCGCUUGGAAAAAUC